RNAcentral lists this ribosomal RNA (116 nucleotides) under Amphilophus citrinellus (Midas cichlid). The record is from RNAcentral. Lineage: Eukaryota; Metazoa; Chordata; Actinopteri; Cichliformes; Cichlidae.
GAUUGGUCUUUUUAGGCUGAACCUGCUCCAUCCUGUCUGAUCAUGGAAGCAAAGCAGCUUUGGCUCAGUUAGUACUGUUAUAGGAGAGCACCUGUGAACAGCAGGUGAUACAAACA